UCUGCGUGUAGCCUCAGUGGCUCCAAGAGCACAACCGAGCGAGAUCGGAUCAACUUAUGUUUAUACCGCCUGAGCUAAAUUUGGAAUUGCAGGCCACUCGUCUAACGCGUCUUUCUUCUGUGCAAUCUCUCUCGCUAUCGUCCGAGUUUCUUGGGUAUUUUGAAGCUGUCUUCUUGUUUGUGCCAUGGCUGUUGAGGUUGACGGGUUUGAGAUGGUUCAAGGCCCGGAAAAAGGUGCUGAAGGAGACAAAGCUGUUUUGCCUGGAAAAGUAAAUGGACAUUCGGAAAAGGAUACUGUAGUAGCUGAAUCCUUAAAAUUUGGGUCACAUGAAGACGAACCUACCAAAGAAGGGAAUAAAAUUUCAGAUUCCAUUGCACGCAAAGAUGCAGUUGAAGAUUGGCCAGCUCCUAAGCAGAUACAUUCUUUUUAUUUGGUUAAGUUCCGGCCUUAUGAUGAUCCUAACAUAAAGUCUAGACUUGAUCAGCUCGAUAAAGAGAUUAGCAAGAAAAAUCAAACCCGGUUUCAGCUCACUGAAGCUUUGAAGGCAAAGCGGUCAGAACGAGCGGAAUUAAUUUCUCAGAUUAAGGCCCAGAGAGAUAACGAUAGGCAAUGCCAGAGUAUAUUGGAUGACAAAAGAAAAGCAAUUGAACCUCUGCAGCAGGCACUGGGCAAGUUGCGUACACCAAACAAUGCUGGUCGGGGUGGUUUAUGCUCAUCUGAGGAGGAACUGAAUGAUAUUAUCUAUGGAUUGCAGUACCGGAUACAACAUGAGAGCAUUCCGUUGUCUGAGGAAAAACUACUCCUUCGUGAAAUCAAGCAGCUUGAGGGAACAAGGGAGAAAGUUAUAGCUAAUGCUGCCAUGAGGGCUAAAUUACAGGAUUCACUUGGGCAGAAAGAAGCCAUUCAAGAUCAGGUUAAGGUUAUAGGUGGGGAUUUGGAUGGAGUAAAGAAGGAGAGAGAGAUAGUUCGGUCCAAAAUCAAGCAACUUGAUGAUUCUCUGAAAGUCUUAGACAAGGAUAUUCAGUCUUUACAGGAUGAACUAACAGAUGUCAUUCAGAAGAAGGAUAAAGAUUAUGAGAGCAUUCAGCAGCUGAGAAAACAACGUGACGAAGGGAAUACUUACUUCCACCAAAGCCGUGCCAUUUUGAAUAAAGCGAGGGAGCUUGCUGCAAAGAAAGAUAUUAAAGCUCUUGAGGAACUUUCACAAGCAGAGGUUGAGAAAUUUAUGUCACUCUGGAACAGUGACGAGACUUUUAGGAAUGAUUAUGAGAGAAGAAUUUUGCCUUCAUUAGAUAUUCGACAAUUGAGUAGGGAUGGACGGAUUAGGAAUCCAGAUGAAAAGCCACUGUUGGAAGAGUCAAAACCGUCUGAAACUGAUGCAGUGCCAAAGAUCAGCAAAAAUCAGCUAAAGGAAGAGCCCAAGUCUUCCCCGAAAGAUAGUUUGCCAGCUCAGAAGGUCCAGAAUGAAGCCAAAAACAAAGAGAGAGAUUUGAAAUCUAAGCUGGAAAAUAAAGAAUCAGCAGAAGCUGAUAAAUUGAAAUUUGAAAAGCCACUAAAGGAGAGUGUUGUCAAAGAGCCUGAAAUUGAUCCAGCAAAGUUGAAGGAGAUCAAGAGAGAAGAGCAAAUUGCAAAAAUGAAGCAGGCCUUGGAAAGGAAAAUGAAGUUAGCAAAGAAAGCUACAGCCAAGGCAGCUGUCCGAGCACAGAAGGAAGCUGAGAAGAAGCUUAAAGAGCAGGAAAAGAAAGCAAAGAAGGCGGCUUCUGCCUCUGCUCCCAUUCCCAAUCCUCAGGAACCGGCAGAUGUUGCAGUGGAGGCUACAGAACCAGAAAAGUUAGAUGAAAAUGAUGAUGGCCCGGUUGUAGUGAAGGAAAAGGUCCAGAAAGAGAGUAGUAUCAGGUCCAGGGAUCGAACAAAGGGCCGUGGCUCGUUUCCUAAAGUUAUUUUGAAGAAAAAAAGGUCUAAAAAUAACCGGGUGUGGGUUGCAUCUGCUGCUUUGUUACUGUUGCUCUUGGUGGUGCUCGGGUAUUACUAUCUUUACUGCUUCAGGUGUAAGCCAGACCGUACAAGCUUUGAAGGGACAGGAAGGUGAUGUGCUACUCAGGGGAGUAAAAGAGAGAAGUACGAUAAAAGAAGUGAAGCAUAUUCUUGAGAUGGCUCAAAGCGCAUCAUCUAGACGAGAAGUUCUUCAUACAAAUUUUCUUACUCCUCCAGUGCUGAAGGAAUCUAUGGAAGUAAUGGGAAAAUUAGCUGGUGUGAAAGCAAUUGCUCAAGGAGGUUACCCACAGGCUGAACGCUGCCGGAUUUCUGUUGGACAUCCAGAAGAAUUGACAAGUGACCCUGAUAUAAUUGCAGCAUUGAGCAUUACAGGAAACUUUCAGUUUGAACCUUGUUCUCAUGGAGACUUCCUUGGUGCAAUCCUUGGUACAGGAAUCACCAGAGAAAAACUUGGAGAUAUAAUAUUGCAGGGCGAACAGGGUGCUCAGAUACUUAUUGUUCCGGAACUUGUUGAAUAUGUCAUAUCAUCGCUGGGUAAG
Molecule: RNA transcript, 2534 nt
Organism: Neltuma alba
Lineage: Eukaryota; Viridiplantae; Streptophyta; Magnoliopsida; Fabales; Fabaceae
Gene name: proton pump-interactor 1
Exons: 13
Source: RefSeq, a predicted model, not a curated record